Long non-coding RNA from Canis lupus familiaris (dog), 1174 nucleotides. RefSeq lists it as uncharacterized. NCBI's taxonomy places the organism in Eukaryota, Metazoa, Chordata, Mammalia, Carnivora, Canidae. The transcript has 5 exons. The record is from RefSeq and is a predicted model, not a curated record.
CACGCCCUGGGCCAAAGGCAGGCGCCAAACCGCUGCACCACCCAGGGAUCCCUCUGUGGGUCAUUCUUGUUGCCACCAGUACGGUGUGCAUGGCUGCUUCAUCUACUGCUGGAAAAAGUUGCUUUCUUGUCUCUUUAAGGCAUUUCAAAAGUGUGAAAAGACUGAAUUGAUCCCCAAGUUUUAAACAAAUGAGAGAAAAGUUAAGCACUUUAGUGGCUUUAUUAAUGUUAAUUUUUUUAAAAAUCAAGCUAUUUUUUAGGUUGUUAAGAAAUGGAUCUUUAGGGUUUUUGCAAAAGGAUUGCCUGGUUAGAAAAAGAUUAGAAAGUCAGUCUCAGGCAGCAGUGUAUAGAGAUACAGAACACUUCACCUAGAGGAAAGAAAAAGCCAGCAUCCCCCCUUCAUCUCCAUUGUGUUAUUCCUUAAUGCUUCACUUGGCAGGACAAAGGAAGUCUGAUGUCUCAGAGCCAGUCCUUGGGUCCCAAGAGGAGGAUUAACAGACUCAUAGAAAAGAUCCCCACUCAGGAACACAUAUGCAAUGGAAGAGACGGAGUGGCUCCUUCCUAUUGCAGCAUGGACACUAUGUCUGAAGAGGUAAAGCAACAAAAGUUGAGGUUCCUGAUGACUAUGGAGCUCCCACAGCUAUGUUGGACCAACUAUAGUUUCAGUGCUAAUCCAAAGGAGAAAAUACCUAACACAGGAAUUUCAAGCAUCAAUUUCAAAUGAGCUACUGGAAAUAGUUUUGGGCAAGAUGGCCUGUUGGGACUCACACAAGAAAUUUUACCACUUAAGAUUUCAAGUGAAGAACAGCAACAGGGGAUAUUGAAAAGAUAGGAAUGUGUUAAGAAAUUGAUUUUUUCUUAAAGUCAAGAAGAGAAGAAAUUUUAAGAGGGACGAAAAGGAUGACAAAUAUUGCUGAAUUCUACAGGGAAACUGAAGACAAUGAGAAGCACGGCAAGGCAUUUGGAUUUAGUGAACAUGAAUAAACAAAAAGCAUGAAGAAAUCAGUUUUGUUAUGAUAGAGUAAAUUUAAGAUAUAGAGCAAUAAAUAAUUAUAUUUGGAAAGCAAGUGGAGGCAGUGAAUAUAAAUUCUUCUUUCAUAAAUAUUAUCAAAGGAAUAAAGGGGAAAGAUAGAAUUAAAGCUUAAGAGGGUAGAGGGAGAAAAGGGCAAUAUUUG